Molecule: ribosomal RNA, 497 nt
Filed under: uncultured bacterium
Lineage: Bacteria
Description: partial 16S ribosomal RNA
Rfam family: Bacterial small subunit ribosomal RNA
Source: RNAcentral
GAUGAACGCUGGCGGCGUGCCUAAUACAUGCAAGUCGAGCGAACGGACGAGAAGCUUGCUUUUCUGAUGUUAGCGGCGGACGGGUGAGUAACACGUGGAUAACCUACCUAUAAGACUGGGAUAACUUCGGGAAACCGGAGCUAAUACCGGAUAAUAUUUUGAACCGCAUGGUUCAAAAGUGAAAGACGGUCUUGCUGUCACUUAUAGAUGGAUCCGCGCUGCAUUAGCUAGUUGGUAGGGUAACGGCUUACCAAGGCAACGAUGCAUAGCCGACCUGAGAGGGUGGUCGGCCACACUGGAACUGGGACACCGUCCAGACUCCUGCGGGAGGCAGCAGUCGGGAAUCUUCCGCAGUAGGCGAAAACCUUACGGAACAACGCCGCGUGAGUGAUGGAGGUCUUCGGAUCGUAAAACUCUGUUAUUAGUGAAGAACAUAUGUGUAAGUAACUGUGCACAUCUUGACGGUACCUGAUCAGAAAGCCACGGCUAACUACGUG